Long non-coding RNA from Oncorhynchus tshawytscha (Chinook salmon), 1684 nucleotides. The record is from Ensembl. Lineage: Eukaryota; Metazoa; Chordata; Actinopteri; Salmoniformes; Salmonidae.
CCUCUUAGUUCCACAACAACCAGUCCCUCUUAGUUCCACAACAACCAGUCCCUCUUAGUUCCACAACAACAAGUCCCUCUUAGUUCCACAACAACCAGUCCCUCUUAGUUCCACAACAACCAGUCCCUCUUAGUUCCACAACAACCAGUCCCUCUUAGUUCCACAACAACCAGUCCCUCUUAGUUCCACAACAACCAGUCCCUCUUAGUUCCACAACAACCAGUCCCACUUAGUUCCACAACAACCAGUCCCUCUUAGUUCCACAACAACCAGUCCCUCUUAGUUCCACAACAACCAGUCCCUCUUCACUCCACAACAACCAGUCCCUCUUAGUUCCACAGCAACCAGUCCCUCUUAGUUCCACAACAACCAGUCCCUCUUAGUUUCACAGCAACCAGUCCCUGUUAGCUAAGACAGUACGUUCCCAAUAAAAACAUAAUUCCACCUUGACAUUAUGGGGUAGAUCAGUGACAAAACAAUCUUCCUUUCAAUCCAUUUCAAAUUCAGGCUGUAAACACAACAAACAUUAGGAUAAAGUCAACGGGUGUGAAGGCUCAAAGUAAACAAAACAUUAUGAACACCUGCUCUUUCCAUGACAGACUGACCAGGUGAAUCCAGGUGAAAGCUGUCAUCCCUUAUUGAUGUCACCUGUUAAAUCCACUUCAAUCAGUGUAGAUGAAUGGGAGGAGACGGGAUAAAGGAAGGAUUUUUAAGCCUUGAGACAUGGAUUGUGUCUGUGUGUCAUUCAGAGGGUGAAUGGGCAAGACAAAAUAUUUAAGUGCCUUUGAACGGGGUAUGGUAGUAGGAGGUGCCUUUGAACAGGGUAUGGUAGUAGGUGCCUUUGAACGGGGGUAUGGUAGUAGGUGCCUUUGAACAGGGUGUGGUAGUAGGUGCCUUUGAACAGGGUAUGGUAGUAGGUGCCUUUGAACAGGGUAUGGUAGUAGGUGCCUUUGAACAGGGUAUGGUAGUAGGUGCCUUUGAACGGGGGUAUGGUAGUAGGUGCCUUUGAACAGGGUAUGGUAGUAGGUGCCUUUGAACAGGGUGUGGUAGUAGGUGCCUUUGAACAGGGUGUGGUAGUAGGUGCCAGGCACACUGGUUGUGUCAAGAACUGCAACGCUGCUGAGUUUUUCACACUCAACAGUUUCCCGUGUGUAUCAAGAAUUGUCAACCACCUAGAGAAGUUCCAGCCAACUUGACGCAAUUGUGGAAAGCAUUGGAGUCAACAUGGGCCAGCAUCCCUGUGGAACGCUUUCAACACCUUGUAGAGGGGGGUGGAGCAACUCAAUAUUAGGAAGCUGUUCUUAAUGUUUUGUUCACUCAAUGUAGAUUGUACAGUAUAGUACAUUCCCUGAACAAAAGCAGGAUCUAGAUUAUACAGCUCUAUCUGAACAGAUGCUGGCAAACCUAAAGAGUCAUUCCAUUUGAUUCUUGAUGACAGUCCAUGAUGCUGCUAAACCUAAAGAGUCAUUCCAUUUGAUUCUUGAUGACAGUCCAUGAUGCUGCUAAACCUAAAGAGUCAUUCCAUUUGAUUCUUGAUGACAGUCCAUGAUGCUGCUAAACCUAAAGAGUCACUCCAUUUGAUUCUCGAUGACAGUCCCUGAUGCUGCUAAACCUAAAGAGUCACUCCAUUUGAUUCUUGAUGACAGUCCCUGAUGCUGCUAAACCUAAAGAGUCACUCCAUUUG